RNAcentral lists this ribosomal RNA (259 nucleotides) under uncultured prokaryote. RNAcentral's name for it is "partial 16S ribosomal RNA". It matches the Rfam family "Bacterial small subunit ribosomal RNA", at positions 524 to 782 of the family's 1533-position model. The record is from RNAcentral.
UACGGAGGAUGCAAGCGUUAUCCGGAUUUAUUGGGUUUAAAGGGUGCGCAGGUUGUUUGAUAAGUCAGUGGUGAAAGUCUGUCGCUUAACGGUAGGAUUGCCAUUGAUACUGUUGGACUUGAAUAUGGGUGAGGUAGGCGGAAUGUGUAAUGUAGCGGUGAAAUGCUUAGAUAUUACACAGAACACCAAUUGCGUAGGCAGCUUACUGAGCCGACACUGACGCUGAGGCACGAAAGCGUGGGGAUCGAACAGGAUUAGA